UGGGGAAUAUUGGGCAAUGGGGGAAACCCUGACCCAGCAACGCCGCGUGAAGGAUGAAGUAUUUCGGUAUGUAAACUUCGAAAGAAUAGGAAGAAUAAAUGACGGUACUAUUUAUAAGGUCCGGCUAACUACGUGCCAGCAGCCGCGGUAAUACGUAGGGACCAAGCGUUGUUCGGAUUUACUGGGCGUAAAGGGCGCGUAGGCGGCAUGACAAGUCACUUGUGAAAUCUCUGGGCUUAACCCAGAACGGCCAAGUGAUACUGUCGCGCUAGAGUGCAGAAGGGGCAAUCGGAAUUCUUGGUGUAGCGGUGAAAUGCGUAGAUAUCAAGAGGAACACCUGAGGUGAAGACGGGUUGCUGGACUGACACUGACGCUGAGGCGCGAAAGCAAGAGUAUCAAACAGGAUUAGAUACCCUCGUAGUCCCUGAGCGGGCUGGCAAGGCGCAU
Molecule: ribosomal RNA, 447 nt
Filed under: uncultured bacterium
Lineage: Bacteria
Description: bacterial SSU rRNA
Rfam family: Bacterial small subunit ribosomal RNA
Source: RNAcentral